This 125-nucleotide non-coding RNA is filed under the name Chromera velia. The record is from RNAcentral. Lineage: Eukaryota; Chromeraceae.
CACAGAGACAAAGAAAGAAAGACAAAAGAAAAGCAAGCUCAGCAAUGAAAGGAAGCAAGGAAGGGGCAGCUGGCUUCUUCCUUUCUUUGCAAGGUCUUUCAUUUUGUUUUUUCUUUGUUGUUCCU